UUGGUUAAGUUAGAAAGGGCGCACGGUGGAUGCCUUGGCACUAGGAGCCGAAGAAGGACGGGACUAACACCGAUAUGCUUUGGGGAGCUGUACGUAAGCGUUGAUCCAGAGAUUUCCGAAUGGGGGAACCCACUAUCUUUAGUCGGAUAGUAUCCUUACGUGAAUACAUAGCGUGAGGAAGGCAGACCCAGGGAACUGAAACAUCUAAGUACCUGGAGGAAGAGAAAGAAAAAUCGAUUUCCUGAGUAGCGGCGAGCGAAACGGAAAGAGCCCAAACCAAGAAGCUUGCUUCUUGGGGUUGUAGGACACUCUAUACGGAGUUACAAAAGAAAGUUAUAAAUGAAGCGGUCUGGAAAGGCCCGCCAAAGACGGUAACAGCCCGGUAGUUGAAAUAGCUUUCCCUCCAGAGUGGAUCCUGAGUACGGCGGAACACGUGAAAUUCCGUCGGAAUCCGGGAGGACCAUCUCCCAAGGCUAAAUACUCCCUAGUGACCGAUAGUGAACCAGUACCGUGAGGGAAAGGUGAAAAGCACCCCGGAAGGGGAGUGAAACAGUUCCUGAAACCGUGUGCCUACAAGUAGUUAGAGCCCGUUAAUGGGUGAUAGCGUGCCUUUUGUAGAAUGAACCGGCGAGUUACGAUUUGUUGCAAGGUUAAGCGGAAAAAGCGGAGCCGUAGCGAAAGCGAGUCUGAAUAGGGCGCAUAAGUAACAGGUCGUAGACCCGAAACCAGGUGAUCUACCCAUGUCCAGGAUGAAGGUAAGGUAAUACUUACUGGAGGUCCGAACCCACGCACGUUGAAAAGUGCGGGGAUGAGGUGUGGGUAGCGGAGAAAUUCCAAUCGAACUUGGAGAUAGCUGGUUCUCUCCGAAAUAGCUUUAGGGCUAGCCUCGAGGUAAAGAGUCAUGGAGGUAGAGCACUGUUUGGACUAGGGGCCCUUCUCGGGUUACCGAAUUCAGAUAAACUCCGAAUGCCAUGUACUUAUACUCGGGAGUCAGACUGCGAGUGAUAAGAUCCGUAGUCGAAAGGGAAACAGCCCAGACCACCAGUUAAGGUCCCCAAAUAUAUGUUAAGUGGAAAAGGAUGUGGGGUUGCUUAGACAACCAGGAUGUUGGCUUAGAAGCAGCCACCAUUGAAAGAGUGCGUAAUAGCUCACUGGUCGAGUGACCCCGCGCCGAAAAUGUACCGGGGCUAAACAUAUUACCGAAACUGUGGAUGAACCUCUUUAGAGGUUCGUGGUAGGAGAGCGUUCUAAGGGCGGUGAAGUCAGACCGGAAGGACUGGUGGAGCGCUUAGAAGUGAGAAUGCCGGUAUGAGUAGCGAAAGAAGGGUGAGAAUCCCUUCCACCGAAUAUCUAAGGUUUCCUGAGGAAGGCUCGUCCGCUCAGGGUUAGUCGGGACCUAAGCCGAGGCCGAUAGGCGUAGGCGAUGGACAACAGGUAGAGAUUCCUGUACCAGUGCUAAUUGUUUAACCGAUGGGGUGACACAGAAGGAUAGGGAAUCGCACGAAUGGAAAUGUGCGUCCAAGCAGUGAGUGUGAGAAGUAGGCAAAUCCGCUUCUCGCGAAGCAUGAGCUGUGAUGGGGAAGGAAAUUAAGUACGGAAGUUCCUGAUUUCACGCUGUCAAGAAAAGCCUCUAGGAAGAGUAGUACUGCCCGUACCGCAAACCGACACAGGUAGAUGAGGAGAGAAUCCUAAGGUGAGCGAGAGAACUCUCGUUAAGGAACUCGGCAAAAUGACCCCGUAACUUCGGGAGAAGGGGUGCUCUAUUAGGGUGCAAGCC
Molecule: ribosomal RNA, 1777 nt
Filed under: Listeria monocytogenes
Lineage: Bacteria; Bacillati; Bacillota; Bacilli; Caryophanales; Listeriaceae
Description: partial 23S ribosomal RNA
Rfam family: Bacterial large subunit ribosomal RNA
Source: RNAcentral